CAAGGACAAAUCAAGUUUUCAUGACAAGAAUUUUAUUUCCUUUUUUUUUUCAUUACAUUUUGCAUUAAAUUAAAGAGGUUUUUUUUUUCUUUACAACAUACAUUAAGCUGUGAAUCAGAUGUUAAGGAAGUGGAGAGAGAGUAGGGCAAAAAACUUUGUGACGUCACAAUAUCUUACAAGCUUACAAAGUUCAAAAGUUUGAAAAGUCGAUAAGAGUUGAUUUGCAUCUAACAGCAGUGAAUUAUAACAAGGGUGAAAGACAAAAAAGGCACACACUAAAGAACCUCACUGUCCACAGCGGCCGUCAGUCAGUCCUAAUCCAGCCUGUCGAAAACUCCUGCGGUCCUGCUGACGUCGAAAUGCUCGACGCUCAAAGUAAACGCCCAGAUAUGUUCACGUGUCCACACGAGACGGUGGACGUUUAACCUUCUCACCCAGACACGGGGUGUUGUUCUCCAUCUGUGUGGACGUGAUGAUUCAUGAAUCAAAACGUUUACGAACAAGUUGUCAGUUUCAUUCCAGGAAAACAUAUUUGAAACAUUGGCAAAAAGGGAUGGACUUGUGUGAAGGAUGAAACCUUGUUAUUUUGGACUACUUAUGCCCGUUGAAUGGCAGCGCUGAUGGCAUAUGAAAGGCUUCAAAAUAAAUUCAUCUUUCUUUGUGGUAACAUAACCUCACCCUGUAAUUACAGAAACAUCCAAACUUUUAAAUUGAGCGCAAUUAUUUAGCAGCGGGGAGAAAAAAAAACAAAAAAAAAAAACACUUUUAAGAGUGAAUUGUUUGUAACAAAAUCACCAGUGGCAUAAUUAUUGGAAUUUAUUUAAGUUGAUUAAUAUGAUUUCACAAAUAUUUCCACUUUCUGCCAGGAGAGCAAUUAUUUAAAACGUUUAAAACAACUUGACUAGAGAUAGACUAGCAGAGGAUCCAUAUUGAUCUUGCCAUCAUUUCUGGGAGCAGAGUAUUGAUGUGUAAUGCUGUGGGCUGGUUAUAUCUAAAAACUGGUUAGUGUACUGGCAGAAUAUUCCUGGAUGUGUCAAGCUGGAUCAUUUUGUGACAGUAGAAAGAGGAAUGGUCAGAGAUCUGUCUCUGUUUUUGAUCCAAACUUCUUAAAUUGUGUAGAAGACCUUUUGGUUAAAAAAAAA
Molecule: long non-coding RNA, 1142 nt
Organism: Poecilia latipinna (sailfin molly)
Lineage: Eukaryota; Metazoa; Chordata; Actinopteri; Cyprinodontiformes; Poeciliidae
Exons: 2
Source: RefSeq, a predicted model, not a curated record